This is a non-coding RNA of Arvicanthis niloticus (Nile rat), 1684 nucleotides long. The record is from RefSeq and is a predicted model, not a curated record. Lineage: Eukaryota; Metazoa; Chordata; Mammalia; Rodentia; Muridae.
GGGCGUCUGCAGGGGCUGCCGUGGCGGCCCGCACCAGCUAUGCCAAAUAAAAACAAGAAGGAAAAAGAAGCACCAAAACUGGUGAAAAGUGGAAAAGGUUCAAAAGAAGACCAAGAUACAGAAGCAGAGAUAGCCAGCAGGAAAAACAGCCUCACAACUGUCCAGUCUUUGACAUCUACUAAAAUAAAUGGACUAGUCCCUCGGUCCAUUGUCCCUGUGAAGAAAGACAAAUGGCAGAACUCUUCAUGGUUUAAUGCCAACAAUAAUAGAGAACUGCAAAAACCCCCAUCUUUAAAAGAUGUUCCUCCUGCAGGCCAAGAGAAGCUUUUUAUCCAGAAGCUACAUCAGUGUUAUGUCCUCUUUGACUUUGCUUCUGAUCCACCGAGUGACCUGAAGAGGAAGUAAAGCGAGCUGCGAUAAGCGAGAUGGUGGAGUAUAUCACCCACAUCACAAAGCCCAUUUACCCCGAGGCCAUCCACAUGUUUGCAGUUAAUAUGUUUCGAACCUUGCCACCCUCCUCCAAUCCUACGGGAGCAGAAUUCGACCCAGAAGAAGAUGAACCAAUGUUAGAAGCAGCCUGGCUUCAUCUGCAGCUUGUUUAUGAAUUUUUCUUAAGAUUUUUUUUUAGAGUCUCCAGAUUUCCAGCCCAACAAAGCAAAGAAAUAUAUUGACCAGAAGUUUGUAUUGCAGCUUCUAGAACUCUUUGACAGCAAGGAUCCUCAGGAGAGAGAUUUUCUAAAAACGACCCUGCACGGAAUCUAUGUGAAGUUCUUAGGCCAUCAGGAAACAGAUCAAUAAUAUAUUUCAUAGGUUUAUCUAUGAGACAGAGUACCACAAUGACAUAGCAAAAUUACUGGUGAUCCAGAGAAGUAUAAUUAUUGGAUUUGCCUUACCACUAAAAGAAGAGCACAAGAUUUUCCUGUUGAAGGUGUUGCUGCCCUUGCACAAAGUGAGGUCCCUAAAGUGUCUACCAUCCCAAGCUGGUAUACUGUGUCAUGCAGUUUUUAGAGAAGAACAGCACCCUCACUGAACCAGUGGUAAUGGCAUGUCUCAAAUACUGGCCAAAGACUCACAGUCCAAAAGAAGUAAUGUUCUUAAAUGAAUUAGAAGAAAUCUUAGAUGUAAUUGAACCAUCAGAAUUUGUGACGAUCAUGGAGCCUCUUUUCUGACAGUUAGCCAAAUGUGUUUCCAGUCCUCACUUCCAGGUGGCAGAGCAGACACUCUAUUACUGGAAUAAUGAGUACAUCAUGAGUUUAAUCAGUAACAAUGCAGCAAAAUUCUGCCCAUCAUGUUUUCAUCUUUAUACCACAACUCAGAGACCCACUGGAACAAGACAAAACAUAGCUUGAUAUACAAUGCUCUGAAACUCUUCAUGGAGAUGAACCAGAAACUCUUCAAUGACUGCACCAAGCAGUUCAAAGCAGAGAAACUCAAAGGGAAGCUAAAAAUGAAAGAGUGAGAAGCAUGGGUUAAAAUAGAAAAUCUAGCCAAAGCGAGUUCCCAGGUACUAAAAGAGACCCAAACCAUGGAGAAGCAAAAUAUUGGAGAGUUGACUGCCCCUCUCACCAAAGUAGGCUGGUAUUCCAUGUUCCUCAUCCACAGGAAAGGCUCUCAGAUUUCUGGUUCUAGCAGUCAAAGGCUGAUGCAGCCCUGUGUGGCAGUCAAAGAGUUAAUGCUGUCCUGA